Magallana angulata is the source of this 1086-nucleotide long non-coding RNA. RefSeq lists it as uncharacterized. Lineage: Eukaryota; Metazoa; Mollusca; Bivalvia; Ostreida; Ostreidae. The transcript has 3 exons. The record is from RefSeq and is a predicted model, not a curated record.
GUUUUUGUCGGGGACGAAUUGUAUAGGUACAGCUCUUUUAAAAAAGAGGAAGAAAACUAUUGAAAGAGAUCUUAAUCUUUAAAACGUUUUUGAAAGGGAGAUAUUGAUUACGAAAAAAAAAGAACAAAGUUAAAUUGAGAGCAACAAGACGGCAAUGAAAUAUGGACACGCCCACGGAGUCGGCAAACAGAAAUGUGUGUUUACUAACUUUAGGUGACAUUACGGAUGGACAGCUUGAGAAUAUAAGUAAAGAACAUUGUUAUAGCAGAGGUCUAAAACCUAAAUACUUGGAACUACAUGAUGAUGUAGAUGGUCAACAAGAACAUAUCCAGUCUUUGUCACCAGAUGAUUGCUUUGAUGACAACUAUGAUGCAUGUCAAUCAUAGAUUGAAAGCGAAAAAGAUGAGGAUGAGGAAGAAGAGGAGGGGGCUCUUGGAGGUCGCAGGAUUGUAGAGUUGAGUGUUUUGGCUGCAAAAUUAGAUGAAGGCUGCAAUAAUUGCUCUACAGAGCUAAAACUUUCAUCCUGUGUUGGAGAAACCAGAUAUGGCCUAGAUAUCUAAGACAUUAAUUAGUUUUCCUUCUAUUUAUAAUUAUCUGAAUAGAUGACCAUAUGUCAUUUAAUUUAAAAUAUAUCAAUCUUUAAAAUUAUAAGAGAGGGUAGAUAACUUACAAUUUCAAAAUACACAAGUUGUUGAACAUUUCUUUUAUUAUAGGCAGCCUCCUUAAAAUUCAUUGCAAUAAUUGCAAUGAAAUUAAUAAUGUACCUAUUGGCAAGAGACAUGGUCAAAAUACAUGGGAUAAUAAUACAAAAUUGGGCGCAGGCAUUAUAUUAACUCUAUUGAUUGAUAGAUAAUUGUUAAAUUAUAAAACAUGAAAGAAAAUUAAUAAUGGAUUUCUAAUAUCAAAUCUUGAAAAAAAAUUUAUUUCCAUUGCAGCUGUGGUAUUUUGUAGACUUGGAGUAAUGACCGUUAACAAUUUCCUUGCUGCUUUGAAUAUUCCCACUGUAACUUCUGUAACUUUUAAGAGACGAGAGAGGGAGGUUGGCAAUAUUUUUGAAGCUGUUGCAAAUGAGACUUGUAAUGAAGC